GAUGAACGCUGGCGGCGUGCCUAAUACAUGCAAGUCGAGCGAACGGACGAGAAGCUUGCUUCUCUGAUGUUAGCGGCGGACGGGUGAGUAACACGUGGAUAACCUACCUAUAAGACUGGGAUAAUUUCGGGAAACCGGAGCUAAUACCGGAUAAUAUUUUGAACCGCAUGGUUCAAAAGUGAAAGACGGUCUUGCUGUCACUUAUAGAUGGAUCCGCGCUGCAUUAGCUAGUUGGUAAGGUAACGGCUUACCAAGGCAACGAUGCAUAGCCGACCUGAGAGGGUGAUCGGCCACACUGGAACUGAGACACGGUCCAGACUCCUACGGGAGGCAGCAGUAGGGAAUCUUCCGCAAUGGGCGAAAGCCUGACGGAGCAACGCCGCGUGAGUGAUGAAGGUCUUCGGAUCGUAAAACCCUGUUAUUAGGGAAGAACAUAUGUGUAAGUAACUGUGCACAUCUUGACGGUACCUAAUCAGAAAGCCACGGCUAACUACGUG
Molecule: ribosomal RNA, 497 nt
Filed under: uncultured bacterium
Lineage: Bacteria
Description: partial 16S ribosomal RNA
Rfam family: Bacterial small subunit ribosomal RNA
Source: RNAcentral